UGAGCAAUCUGCCCUUCUCUUUGGAAUAAGCGUUGGAAACGACGUCUAAUGCCGAAUACGACCUCCUUUCGCAUGAUCGGAGGUGGAAAGCUCCGGCGGAGAAGGAUGAGCUCGCGGCCUAUCAGCUAGUUGGUGUGGGUAAUGGCCCACCAAGGCGACGACGGGUAGCCGGCCUGAGAGGGUGACCGGCUACACUGGGACUGAGACACGGCCCAGACUCCUACGGGAGGCAG
Molecule: ribosomal RNA, 233 nt
Filed under: uncultured bacterium
Lineage: Bacteria
Description: partial 16S ribosomal RNA
Rfam family: Bacterial small subunit ribosomal RNA
Source: RNAcentral